UAGGGAAUCUUCCGCAAUGGGCGAAAGCCUGAUGGAGCAACGCCGCGUGAGUGAUGAAGGUCUUCGGAUCGUAAAACUCUGUUAUCAGGGAAGAACAAAUGUGUAAGUAAAUAUGCACGUCUUGACGGUACCUAAUCAGAAAGCCACGGCUAACUACGUGCCAGCAGCCGCGGUAAUACGUAGGUGGCAAGCGUUAUCCGGAAUUAUUGGGCGUAAAGCGCGCGUAGGCGGUUUUUUAAGUCUGAUGUGAAAGCCCACGGCUCAACCGUGGAGGGUCAUUGGAAACUGGAAAACUUGAGUGCAGAAGAGGAAAGUGGAAUUCCAUGUGUAGCGGUGAAAUGCGCAGAGAUAUGGAGGAACACCAGUGGCGAAGGCGACUUUCUGGUCUGUAACUGACGCUGAUGUGCGAAAGCGUGGGGAUCAAACAGG
Molecule: ribosomal RNA, 429 nt
Filed under: Actinomycetes bacterium
Lineage: Bacteria; Bacillati; Actinomycetota; Actinomycetes
Description: Actinobacteria bacterium partial 16S ribosomal RNA
Rfam family: Bacterial small subunit ribosomal RNA
Source: RNAcentral